UACGAAGGUCCCGAGCGUUGUUCGGAAUCACUGGGCGUAAAGGGAGCGUAGGCGGCAUGGUAAGUACAGAUGUGAAAUCCCGGGGCUCAACCCCGGAACUGCAUCCGAUACUGCCUUGCUUGAGGGGUUGGAGAGGUAGCUGGAAUUAUCGGUGUAGCAGUGAAAUGCGUGGAUAUCGAUAGGAACACUCGUGGCGAAGGCGAGCUACUGGACAACAUCUGACGCUGAGGCUCGAAGGCUAGGGGAGCAAAAGGG
Molecule: ribosomal RNA, 255 nt
Filed under: uncultured bacterium
Lineage: Bacteria
Description: partial 16S ribosomal RNA
Rfam family: Bacterial small subunit ribosomal RNA
Source: RNAcentral